GAUGAACGCUAGCGACAGGCUUAACACAUGCAAGUCGAGGGGCAGCGGGGUAGGAAGCUUGCUUUCUGCCGCCGGCGACCGGCGCACGGGUGAGUAACACGUAUGCAACCUGGCCGUGACAGAUGGAUAACCGGGAGAAAUCCCGCCUAAUACAACAUAAUGCCGGGAGGGGACAUCCCCUGCCGGCCAAAGGGGGCGACCCCGGUCAUGGAUGGGCAUGCGGCGCAUUAGGUAGUUGGUGGGGCAACGGCCCACCAAGCCGACGAUGCGUAGGGGUUCUGAGAGGAAGGUCCCCCACACUGGUACUGAGACACGGACCAG
This 321-nucleotide ribosomal RNA is filed under the name uncultured bacterium. RNAcentral's name for it is "bacterial SSU rRNA". It matches the Rfam family "Bacterial small subunit ribosomal RNA", at positions 28 to 334 of the family's 1533-position model. The record is from RNAcentral.